CCAGGUCUUUCUCUGCCUCUGUGGUGGAUAGUGGAGUGUUUCCCAUGUGGUAUUGGUGUGCUGGAUAUCCCUUCACUGGUAGCCUGGUCACAUACACCCCCAGGUCUUUCUCUGCCUCUGUGGUGGAUAGUGGAGUGUUUCCCAUGUGGUAUUGGUGUGCUGGAUAUCCCUUCACUGGUAGCCUGGUAACAUACACUCCCAGGUCUUUCUCUGCCUCUGUGGUGGAUAGUGGAGAUGUUUCCCAUGUGGUAUUGGUGUGCUGGAUAUCCCUUCACUGGUAGCCUGGUAACAUACACUCCCAGGUCUUUCUCUGCCUCUGUGGUGGAUAGUGGAGUGUUUCCCUUGUGGUACUGGUGUGCUGGAUAUCCCUUCACUGGUAGCCUGGUAACAUACACUCCCAGGUCUUUCUCUGCCUCAGUGGUGGAUAGUGGAGUGUUUCCCAUGUGGUGUUGGUGUGCUGGAUAUCCCUUCACUGGUAGCCUGGUAACAUACACUCCCAGGUCUUUCUCUGCCUCUGUGGUGGAUAGUGGAGUGUUUCCCAUGUGGUAUUGGUGUGCUGGAUAUCCCUUCACUGGUAGCCUGGUAACAUACACUCCCAGGUCUUUCUCUGCCUCUGUGGUGGAUAGUGGAGUGUUUCCCAUGUGGUAUUGGUGUGCUGGAUAUCCCUUCACUGGUAGCCUGGUAACAUACACUCUCAGGUCUUUCUCUGCCUCUGUGGUGGAUAGUGGAGUGUUUCCCAUGUGGUAUUGGUGUGCUGGAUAUCCCUUCACUGGUAGCCUGGUAACAUACACUCCCAGAUCUUUCUCUGCCUCUGUGGUGGAUAGUGGAGUGUUUCCCAUGUGGUAU
Molecule: long non-coding RNA, 846 nt
Organism: Eriocheir sinensis (Chinese mitten crab)
Lineage: Eukaryota; Metazoa; Arthropoda; Malacostraca; Decapoda; Varunidae
Exons: 3
Source: RefSeq, a predicted model, not a curated record